CUUGCAUUCACUUGUGCGUUGUUACACUGCAUAAUGGCGACAGGUGAGAAAAGAGCAAAAAAAAACGUAAUUUCUCAGACACUGACAUACACAUACUUGUAGGGGAGGUGGAGGCCCGGAAAACAACAUUAUUUGGUGGCCACAGCAGUGGGAUCACUAAUAAAAAGAAGCAGUGCGAGUGGCAACGUGUUGCUGCUUCUGUCAACUGCAUCAGUGGGACAGAACAGACAGUUGCAGAACUAAAGGAAAAGUGGUCCGAUCUGAAGUUAUAUAAUGGUAGAGUACUUGAUGCUAUCCUGUACUCCAUCCUGCCCUGCCAUCUCCACCUGCACUCCCGUAAAAGAAGAAGAAGAAGAAGAAGAAGAAGAAGAAGAAGAAGAAGAAGAAAGUCUGGUCAGCAUUCUAUUAAGAGAGUUAACUUAAAGUCUAAGGGACAGUCUCAAGCCUCCCUGUUUUCAUUCAAAAUAUCUUAAAUUGUGUUCCGAAGACGAACGAAGCUUUUACAGGUCUGGAUCGACAUGGGGAAAUCCAGAACAGCAACCUCAAUCAGGGCUAAUCCACUCUGGGCAGCGGCAGGAGAUAUCACUGCCUGGGAAAGCUUGGGCCUCUUCCUUUGUUUUGUUGUUCUGGACCACCAUGCCAACAUUUGAAAUUCAUCUGCACCUUCUACCUCUCCUUCCACCCUGUUGUCCACUUCCUCUAUAUCCAUGUCUUCUUACAGUGUCUCCUCAUGCUCUUUCCACUACACCAAUACCCUCUUCUCUAAUCAUCUCUUCUCCAUUUCCUUCUCCUCUCCUCUUCUCUUUUCUCACAUCUUCCUCUCUGCUCAUCUCUUUCUAGCUGUUUCACUCUUCAUCUUCUCUUUCAUUAUGCCCC
This is a long non-coding RNA of Cyprinus carpio carpio, 876 nucleotides long. NCBI's taxonomy places the organism in Eukaryota, Metazoa, Chordata, Actinopteri, Cypriniformes, Cyprinidae. The record is from Ensembl.